AUACUGUGAAACUGCGAAUGGCUCAUUAAAUCAGUUAUCGUUUAUUUGAUAGUACCUUACUACUUGGAUAACCGUGGUAAUUCUAGAGCUAAUACAUGCUGAAAACCCCAACUUCGGGAGGGGUGUAUUUAUUAGAUAAAAAACCAACGCCCUUUCGGGGCUUCUUGGUGAUUCAUGAUAACUUUACGGAUCGCAUGGCCUUGCGCCGGCGACGGUUCAUUCAAAUUUCUGCCCUAUCAACUUUCGAUGGUAAGGUAUUGGCUUACCAUGGUUUCAACGGGUAACGGGGAAUUAGGGUUCGAUUCCGGAGAGGGAGCCUGAGAAACGGCUACCACAUCCAAGGAAGGCAGCAGGCGCGCAAAUUACCCAAUCCCGACACGGGGAGGUAGUGACAAUAAAUACUGAUACAGGGCUCUUUUGGGUCUUGUAAUUGGAAUGAGUACAAUUUAAACCUCUUAACGAGGAACAAUUGGAGGGCAAGUCUGGUGCCAGCAGCCGCGGUAAUUCCAGCUCCAAUAGCGUAUAUUAAAGUUGUUGCAGUUAAAAAGCUCGUAGUUGAAACUUGGGUCUGGCUGGCAGGUCCGCCUCACCGCGUGUACUUGUCCGGCCGGGCCUUCCUUCUGGAGAACCUCAUGCCCUUCACUGGGCGUGUUGGGGACCAGGACUUUUACUUUGAAAAAAUUAGAGUGUUCAAAGCAGGCCUUUGCUCGAAUACGUUAGCAUGGAAUAAUAGAAUAGGACGUGCGGUCCUAUUUUGUUGGUUUCUAGGACCGCCGUAAUGAUUAAUAGGGACAGUCGGGGGCAUCAGUAUUCAAUUGUCAGAGGUGAAAUUCUUGGAUUUAUUGAAGACUAACUACUGCGAAAGCAUUUGCCAAGGAUGUUUUCAUUAAUCAGUGAACGAAAGUUAGGGGAUCGAAGACGAUCAGAUACCGUCGUAGUCUUAACCGUAAACUAUGCCGACUAGGGAUCGGGCGAUGUUCUUUUUCUGACUCGCUCGGCACCUUACGAGAAAUCAAAGUUUUUGGGUCUGGGG
Molecule: ribosomal RNA, 1033 nt
Filed under: Neosetophoma rosae
Lineage: Eukaryota; Fungi; Ascomycota; Dothideomycetes; Pleosporales; Phaeosphaeriaceae
Description: SSU rRNA
Rfam family: Eukaryotic small subunit ribosomal RNA
Source: RNAcentral